This 84-nucleotide transfer RNA is filed under the name Cercospora zeae-maydis SCOH1-5. Its description in RNAcentral is "tRNA-His". It matches the Rfam family "tRNA". Rfam says of the family: Transfer RNA (tRNA) molecules are approximately 80 nucleotides in length. Their secondary structure includes four short double-helical elements and three loops (D, anti-codon, and T loops). The record is from RNAcentral. Lineage: Eukaryota; Fungi; Ascomycota; Dothideomycetes; Mycosphaerellales; Mycosphaerellaceae.
GGUGGUAUGGUCUAGUGGUAUGACGACGUGUUGUGGUCAGUCUACAGAUCCGCGUUAGCCCGUGUUCGAUUCACGGUACCGCCA